Long non-coding RNA from Rhopalosiphum padi (bird cherry-oat aphid), 1784 nucleotides. RefSeq lists it as uncharacterized. The transcript is spliced from 3 exons. NCBI's taxonomy places the organism in Eukaryota, Metazoa, Arthropoda, Insecta, Hemiptera, Aphididae. The record is from RefSeq and is a predicted model, not a curated record.
GGCGCUGCGGGGAUUUUUCAAUGUUUACUUGACUAUGAGGCAACCUGUAUAAUCUAUAAACCUUGGUAUUACCUAUCAUAACCUUACCUAACCUUAACUACAAAAACCAUAAUAUCGAAUACCUAACUAUUACCGGUAAUCUGACGAACGUCUCAUUGCAGCUUGGCAAAAUGGCUGCUGCGCGCGCAGCUUCUCUUAUCACACCAUUAUCACUGUUAUUUUCAAAUAUGAUAAUCUGAUUAUGCGCGCGCGCGUGAUAUACUCAAUACUGAUAGCAAAAAUAACAAAUUUAUUAAUUAAAAGUUAAGUGUGAUUUAGGUAAUUUAUUUUGUCAUGAUUUAAUAAAAGGCUUUGCUAUUGCUGUUUUGCUGGAUUUCUUUUUUGUUGAAUAAAGUCGAAGCUGUGGAUCUAUUUUUCUUUGAACAUUGACUUCUUCAACUGUUUUUAAGUGUGCUUGUCCUCCUUCGCUCAUUAUUGCUAUAAUUUCUGCCAACUUUUUUUCAAUUUUUUGUAAGUUUUCAUUACUAUAUUCAUUUGUUGAACUCAGACCUAAAAUAAUUUCUGUUUGGCUUAUGAUUGUUUGAUUUUUGUGAGCUUUAUGAUGACUAGAAGUUGCAACCAUAUCCAUUACCUUUUUUUGCUCUGUCGUAUUUGAGUAGUACGAAACAGUGUGUUCAGUAUUGUCGUCUAAACUUAUAAACUCACGAGCACAAGCAUGUAUGUGUUUACAAAUAUUCGCUUUAAUAACAUUAUCAAUGCAAGUGCAAUGAAAGGUGUGAAUGCAAAUAUCACACUUUAUGCAUUUCAAACAUGAUGAAUAUGAACAUGUUUCAUCAGUUUUUAUAAUAUAGUGCUGCUGCGAGGGAUUGGAUAAGGAUUUGAUAAUAUAUACUUUUUUAUUUUCCACAAUUUGUAUUUGUUCCAGUUUAAUUAAUUUACUUGAAUUAUGACUUUGACGUACUCUUUGGACUUUUUCAGUAGGGACAUUUUUCGAUAACUUAAUCAAACGUUUGUAUAGGCUAUCUCUGGAAUAUUUCAUAAGAGCAUUAAUUGUUUUGUCCAAACGUUUUACUCUUUUUCCUUCCAAAUAUAUGUGUUUUAAUACUUUAUGAAACGAUUCCAAGUACAUGUUGGUAUUAAUUCCAAGUCUUAGUCGAUAGCAAUAUGCCCAACAUUCAUCCAACAUAAAUUUUGUCUCCAGUUUUUAUCGACGUGCCAAGUACACAGAAGUCUAUGUUCAACUGAUCCCAUUAUGGUAACCCAAGCAUUAUAAAAUGCAGGAGCAUCAUCUGUCAUAUAAUAAUAAAUAACUCCUACAUUGAAUUUGAUUUUUUCAAAAAAUAAUUGAAAAAUUAGCUCAUCGGAUCGAUUUGAUAAACAAAAUGCAACUGGGCAACCAGAUCCAAAUUCAUCUACAGUGACAACAGUAUACAAUUGAAUGUCAUAUGCAUUAGUUCCAUGCACUAGAUGACAUGAUGCUCAGCUGUUAAGAUACAAACAAAAAUAAAAUACUAGCUAAAUGAAAAUCACAAUAAGUAUAAACACCUAUGUCAGCCUGAGAUUAAUAACUUAUUUUUAGAAGAUUUAUGACUUGGAAAUUUCUUGUUAUUAUGUAUUAUUUUAAAUGUUCAAAUAUUUUAUAUAGCAAUCAAUGAUAUUGUAUUUGGAGUUGAAUAAAAUAAAUGUCAUAUAUCUAAAUAUGUAUACACAAGUAACUAGGAACAUUUCCUAUUUCUAAUAUUUAUAAAAAUGAAAAUAAUAAAAUACAUUGUAUUUAUUUAAAU